Dipodomys spectabilis (banner-tailed kangaroo rat) is the source of this 879-nucleotide long non-coding RNA. RefSeq lists it as uncharacterized. NCBI's taxonomy places the organism in Eukaryota, Metazoa, Chordata, Mammalia, Rodentia, Heteromyidae. The record is from RefSeq and is a predicted model, not a curated record. The transcript is spliced from 5 exons.
CGCCCACAUCCCAGGCUCAGGCUGUCCAUCCGGGACUUCUGCGCAGACCCGACAUGGCGAACCAGGUUAUCAAGUGCAAGGCUGCAGUUGCUUCGGAGCCUGGAAAGCCUCUCUCCGUAGAGGAGAUAGCAGUAGCUCCACCAAAGGCUCAUGAAGUACGAAUUAAGAUCAUUGCACUGCUGUCUGCCACACUGAUGCCUAUACCCUGAGUGGAGCUGAUUCUGAGGGAUGGUUUUCCAGUGAUCUUGGGACAUGAAAGUGCUAGAAUUGUGGAAAGUGUUGGCCAAAGAGUGACUAAGCUAAAGGCAGGUGAUACGGUCAUCCCACUUUACAUCCCACAGUGUGGAGAGUACAAAUUCUGUCUAAAUGCUAAAACAAACCUAUGACAGAAGAUCAGUCUGCAUCUGACCAACAAAUGGCUGCUUCAAUAUUGAGGGCUUUUGUGCUUCAGCUUCCACUGCGUCCUCGUGUUCUGAUCCCAGCUGCUGAGGGUGGGGCACAAGCCUCCUGAGCUCCCCUGAGCUUCUUCACCUCCCAGAAGACUCCACUGCUAUCAGUGAGGUCAACGUUGGAAGGAGGAUACUGUGGAAUCUUCAGAAGGAAAACUAUUAUGAAACUAACUCUUUGGGGCACAAUAUUUACUGAUGAAAUGAGUUUUGUAUCAAUGGUAAUAAUCACACUUUAAAUUUGUUUUAUCUUAGGCUUCAACUUGUAUUUAUCUUAGCCAUAUGCAUUGUGUGAAAUGCUUCCCUUCCAUCUUGCUUCAGAAGUACUUUUACCAAUAUUCUGAGGGGGAAGAUGGGGAAGAUGGGUGAGAAGAGGGAUGACUAAGUCUGAGCCUGACAUGCAUUGAAUUAAAUUCUCCUAGUUGGUGUUGUA